UACAGAGGGUGCAAACGUUGUUCGGAAUUACUGGGCGUAAAGAGCUUGUAGGCGGUCUGUCGCGUCUGCUGUGAAAAUCCGGGGCUCAACCCCGGACUUGCAGUGGGUACGGGCAGACUAGAGUGUGGUAGGGGAGACUGGAAUUCCUGGUGUAGCGGUGAAAUGCGCAGAUAUCAGGAGGAACACCGAUGGCGAAGGCAGGUCUCUAGGCCUCUACUGACGCUGAGAAGCGAAAGCAUGGGGAGCGAACAGG
Molecule: ribosomal RNA, 253 nt
Filed under: uncultured bacterium
Lineage: Bacteria
Description: partial 16S ribosomal RNA
Rfam family: Bacterial small subunit ribosomal RNA
Source: RNAcentral